Pelobates cultripes (western spadefoot toad) is the source of this 159-nucleotide non-coding RNA. NCBI's taxonomy places the organism in Eukaryota, Metazoa, Chordata, Amphibia, Anura, Pelobatidae. The record is from the annotation of a GenBank genome assembly.
UGUAUGUGUAUUAGUAAUUUUAUGUAAUUGAAAGUUGCAGUUAUUGCAUUUGAUAAAUUUUGUUACAAUAAAAGAAAGUAAAAUAAAUAUUUAUAUUAUGUGUAAAGGUGUGUGUGUGUGUGUGUGUGUGCGCAUGCGUCCGUCGGUCCACCCAUCCAA